RNAcentral lists this ribosomal RNA (308 nucleotides) under uncultured bacterium. RNAcentral's name for it is "partial 16S ribosomal RNA". It matches the Rfam family "Bacterial small subunit ribosomal RNA", at positions 708 to 1250 of the family's 1533-position model. The record is from RNAcentral.
CGAAAUUUGAUCCAUUAUGGUUUUUUAUUGACAUUGAUUUGUAAAAGCAUGGGGAGCAAACAGGAUUAGAUAUCAUUGUAGUUCUCGCCGUAAACGAUGUCGAAUAGCCGUUGGGAUCCUUGAGAUCUUAGUGGUGCAGCUAACGCAUUAAUUCGCCGCCUGGGGAGUUCGGCCGCAAGGUUUAAGUCAAAGAAUGACGGGGGCCGCCAAGCGUGACAGUGUUAAAAGAACACGGAGACCCACAGCCCGCACCAUGAACUCCGGAUAUGCCUUCGGAUGCCAGUGCAGCGCCGGGGAUAAAAGAAAUG